RNAcentral lists this long non-coding RNA (454 nucleotides) under Homo sapiens (human). Its description in RNAcentral is "non-protein coding LINC00844:12". The record is from RNAcentral. Lineage: Eukaryota; Metazoa; Chordata; Mammalia; Primates; Hominidae.
GCAGUGAGCCAUGCCAAUGUGGUUUGGCUGGACUGUGAGUGCUUGAUGCAGUCUGAUAGGAGGAUGGGGGUGGCGCAGAGAACAUUGAAAUCAGAAAGGAUUCUGCUCUGUAGAGACAAAGGAAACACAGAGACAUAGACAUGGAUCUGGGAAAUACACCUUUUGCUACUCGUUCAGUUUUAGCAAGGAGGUUUCUUGCAUGGCUAAGCAAAACUUAAACUUCCUCUGAGAAUUACAGGAAUUACAGGACCUGACAAAGCUAUGAAGAUUAAAACCUAUAGGAAGAAAAUCUGAACCAGAAACAGUAUGGCAGAAUUGGGAUCUGACUCACAGAGGGAAGAACUUAUAAUUCUUCACAGGUCACAUAGAAGCAUGAGAAUUUGGGUUCAAGCAAGAGAAACAUUUUGCACUGUGCUGGGGGAUUCUACCCACAUAAGUCAGCAUGUUACUUGCU